This 1610-nucleotide long non-coding RNA is filed under the name Macaca fascicularis (crab-eating macaque). RNAcentral's name for it is "lncRNA (ENSMFAG00000064161.1)". Lineage: Eukaryota; Metazoa; Chordata; Mammalia; Primates; Cercopithecidae. The record is from RNAcentral.
UUUUUUUUUUUUUGAGACAGAGUCUCACUCUGUCACCCAUGUAGAGGAUAAUUGGUGACUAGACAGAAAAUCCAUCCAUCAUAAAUACAGUCUAACUGUUGAACAACAGAUUUCUGAGUCUACCAUAACUUUCAUGCACUCCAGCACUUUAGUGUUGAACUUGCCACCUUCAGAUUCACACUGCAGCACCUCGGGUAAGAAGGAAAGGAAGUGAAUAUGCACAGAGGAUCCACUUGUGUUAUGAGCUUUACAGUUUAGCUGCAGUGGAGAAGAGUUUAUUUCUUUCUUGAAAGUGAGGGCCUCACUCAAGGCCCUAGAGCUCUACAAGACCCUAGAGCAGGUGGCAAUGCCAGCUAGGCUUGUGUCCUUCCCUUCAGGGUGAUGAGUUCCUCCAGGCCCAGGCAUGUCCACAGGUUCUGUCUGAGGGACCAAAGUAAACAACCUGGGAAGUUUACGUGGUGUUCUGUUGUACUGCGGCUGAGCUUGCACUCAAGCCAUGAGAUGGAGUCCUUCCACUCUUCCCUUGCUCUUCCACAGGCAGAGGAGCCUCUCCCUGCAGUUACCUUCACCACAGGCUCAAGCGGAAUACUGGCAGGCUAUUCUCAAUGUUCCCUUAAGGCCCCAGAGCUUUUCAGUCAGCCUGUGAUGAAUGCUGCCUAGCCUGGGGCUCACCCUUCAGGGCAGCGGGCUCUUGCUUUUUUAUUUGGCAAGAGGCAGUUGGGGGCAUGAGGAAAAAUCUUUCCUGUUCCAGAAAUACUGAGGAGUGAACUAUUAGUUUUUUCACAAGUCAGCUAAUCCAGACAGUCUGAAGAACACUAAAUCCUAAGAAUACUUAAAAUAACCCCUCAGGCUUUUUUUUGCUAGUCUUUUGUCCUCCCCAAAUGCAAAGACAGUUUUGAAGGUCAGACCAAAAUAGCUUCUUCACUAAAAAUACAAUUCUUAUUACUAUGGAGACUUACAGGAAUAAUGAUCAAACAGACAAAACUAUGUAAAGUUUUGUACAUGAUGUAAUUAUAUUUCAUUUAUUCAAUUAAUCCAUUAUUCAGAAUACUGCCAUCUAAGUAAUCAAGUAACUCAUAUACAUAAACCAAGUAAAGCACAUAUAUGCCCCUUUAAAACACACACACACACACACACACACACACACACACACACACACAUAUUCGUUCUUCAUUGCAGACUCAUAGAUUGCAAAGUGUCUGAGAUAGAUAGCCAUUUUAUGUAAGCCUGUGAUUUGGAGAUGAGUAGCAGAAUGUUAGGAUGAUUUGCUCAGAUUCCACAUCCAACUGGUAGGCCAUCUGCACUGAAUGCCCCAGAGUUUUACUCUGAGACUUUUAUUGACACAGUCAAGAUCAUGUAAUGGCCCCCUACCACAAUCCUAAAUAUGGCUAUGCACUAAAUUUUGAGGUGUGUGUGUGGUAGAAAAAUUGUUCAAGGAAAUUGCUGGAUCUCAAGAGCUUUGAUUGUGGCUGAACAUCAAACAGAGCUUUUGUCCUGUAGUGACGUGACCUGGAUCUUUCACACACCUUUCCUGUAAUAAUGAGGGAAUGGACUCAGAGGAUUUCAAUAUCACAAAGCAGAUCGGCUUUCAAAGCACAAGGUUCUUACAG